UGCAUAUCACAAAAGCGGAGGAAAAGAAACUAACAAGGAUUCCCCUAGUAACUGCGAGUGAAGCGGGAAAAGCUCAAAUUUAAAAUCUGGUGGUCUUUGGCCAUCCGAGUUGUAAUCUAGAGAAGUGUUAUCCGCGCUGGACCGUGUACAAGUCCCCUGGAAUGGGGCGUCAUAGAGGGUGAGAAUCCCGUCUUUGACACGGACUACCAGGGCUUUGUGAUGCACUCUCAAAGAGUCGAGUUGUUUGGGAAUGCAGCUCAAAAUGGGUGGUAAAUUCCAUCUAAAGCUAAAUAUUGGCGAGAGACCGAUAGCGAACAAGUACCGUGAGGGAAAGAUGAAAAGAACUUUGGAAAGAGAGUUAAACAGUACGUGAAAUUGUUGAAAGGGAAACGCUUGAAGUCAGUCGCGUCUGCCAGGGAUCAACCUUACUUUUGUGAGGCGUACUUCCUGGUUGAUGGGUCAGCAUCAGUUUUGGUCGCUGGAUAAAGGUCAGAGAAAUGUGGCACCUUCGGGUGUGUUAUAGUCUUUGAUCAGAUACAGUGGCUGGGACUGAGGAACUCAGCGCCGCAAGGCUGUCUUAGGAUGCUGGCAAAAUGGCUUUAAUCGACCCGUCUUGAAACACGGCCAAAGGAGUCA
This 636-nucleotide ribosomal RNA is filed under the name Pleurotus pulmonarius. RNAcentral's name for it is "LSU rRNA". It matches the Rfam family "Eukaryotic large subunit ribosomal RNA", at positions 37 to 676 of the family's 3401-position model. Lineage: Eukaryota; Fungi; Basidiomycota; Agaricomycetes; Agaricales; Pleurotaceae. The record is from RNAcentral.